This 408-nucleotide ribosomal RNA is filed under the name uncultured bacterium. Its description in RNAcentral is "partial 16S ribosomal RNA". It matches the Rfam family "Bacterial small subunit ribosomal RNA", at positions 28 to 526 of the family's 1533-position model. The record is from RNAcentral.
GACGAACGCUGGCGGCGUGCUUAACACAUGCAAGUCGAACGAAGUGGCGAACGGGGGAGUAACGCGUAAUCAACCUGCCCUUCAGCGGGGGACAACAGGUGGAAACGACUGCUAAUACCGCAUACUGAAGGAGGGGAUUGAGUCUGAUUAGCAUGUUGGAGGGGUAACGGCCCACCAAGGCGAGGAUCAGGAGCCUGUCUGGGAGGAUGAACGGCCACAUUGGGACUGGGACACGGCCCGGACUCCUACGGUGGGCAGCAGUGGGGAAUCUUCCGCAAUGGACGAAAGUCUGACGGCGCAACGCCGCGUGAGUGAUGACGGCCUUCGGGUUGUAAAGCUCUGUUAAUCGGGACGCGGUACCGGAAUAGAAAGCCACGGCUAACUACGUGCCAGCAGCCGCGGUAAUUC